Molecule: long non-coding RNA, 658 nt
Organism: Pan troglodytes (chimpanzee)
Lineage: Eukaryota; Metazoa; Chordata; Mammalia; Primates; Hominidae
Exons: 2
Source: RefSeq, a predicted model, not a curated record
GGCCCCUUUUGUCACCACGGGAGCUGCCGGUGCAUGAAGCCAUCCAGAGGCAGCCAAGAGAUGGCACCAGAGAUUCCUGGCGCCACAGCCCCUGGACUUGGCUGUGCCCGACGCCAGGGACAGGAGCCAAUAAAUCCCCAUGAGCCUUCGGGUCCUCGUCUGACAGUCAUGACCGCAGCAGCCGGGUGUGAGGGCAGGGCUGGGUGUUCGGAGACCUUCAGAAGCCUGGUCAUGGAGGGCCUGCCCAGGGACCCCCCUGCCUCUCCCCCCAGGCCCCAUGGCGGCAGAGACUCACAGGCAAAGAACUGCCAGGGCUGGUAGGUGCGGCCGAAGUCCAUGGACCGCUCCAGCACCCAGAGGUCCGGCCGGGACAGGGGCCCUGGACAGCUGUCCUCGAGGGCCUGGUGGCUGCACAGAUGGUCACAGGAAGGGAAGCCCGCGCUGGAGGACUCCCAUCUGUCUCUGACCUGGUUGCGGCUCCCAGGGCCACACCGGCCGCCCUCGCCAUGACCCGGAGCGAGCGCAGACCCCUGGCUUCAGGACCGCCCUUCCCCCUCCACGCCCCGCUCAGCUCAGCUGCCAGUGCUGACCUUUCCGCUGCUACAUAGUUCUGUGCAGAAAGAAAAAAAAAUUCUUUUAAAGCAAAAGCCAAACAAAA